GGGGCCGAUCCGGAUUCGACGGGGGUCGCGAAGCAGAGCAGGGCAUGUCGAGCACCAGUUCGCUCGUAAAUCCACUGGAAAAAAUACAAACGCCAACGACGAGCGUUUCGCACUCGCUGCUUAAGCAGUGCCGCUGCACUAGUCUGUCCUUGGGUUAGGUGGAGAGGGGCAACCCUCUAGAAGCUUGCUUCGAACCACUGCAGCGUCAUUCACAAGGAAUCGGUAUUGUCUGGGGUCACACGGACCGUACCUAAAUUACGUGAAUCGCCUUGCACCGGCGCGUUGAUCCGCUAAGUGCAGGGUUAAAUUCAAAUAGAUCGACUACACAUGUAGAACUGCCUGUAGAGGACUUUCGGACGCGGGUUCAAUUCCCGCCGGCUCCACCA
Molecule: transfer-messenger RNA, 386 nt
Filed under: Corticimicrobacter populi
Lineage: Bacteria; Pseudomonadati; Pseudomonadota; Betaproteobacteria; Burkholderiales; Alcaligenaceae
Description: Standard tmRNA
Rfam family: transfer-messenger RNA
About the family: Bacterial tmRNA, also known as 10Sa RNA or SsrA, is named for its dual tRNA and mRNA-like properties. Its role is to liberate the mRNA from a stalled ribosome.
Source: Rfam by way of RNAcentral